AGUGAGAGAACUGUCCACGGGUUUUCAGCGUCACAGCGAUGAUUUAGAUUGUGGUAGUGGACGACACCGAGUUCCGAUCUGUUUGUUAAAAACCAAAGCAAAUAUGAUAUGAUAUGAUACAGGGCGAGGAUUAAGGAAAUCCAAACCAAAAUCAAUUUUCCGAAGAUGGUGAAGUUUUUGAGCCUCCUGAUUGCGGCUUCCAUUCCCGUUCUGAAAGUGCUUCUAAUCACAGCGCUUGGCUCUUUUCUGGCUCUUCCCCACAUCAACGUCUUGGGCGAAGAAGCCAGAAAGCAUUUGAAUGGAGUGGUUUUUUACGUAUUCAAUCCUGCACUCGUCUCCUCCAACCUUGCUGAAACUAUUACAUACAACAACAUGGUCAAGAUGUGGUUUAUGCCUUUCAAUAUCCUCAUUACUUUCAUAGUGGGAUCACUAUUUGGUUGGAUUGUGAUUCAAUUAACCAAACCUCCUCCUCAUCUCCGCGGCCUCAUCUUGGGUUGCUGCUCCGCUGGAAAUUUGGGCAACAUUUUACUUAUUAUAAUUCCAGCAGUUUGUAAAGAAAAGGGAAGCCCCUUUGGGGACUCCGACCAAUGCACCACUUACGGAAUGGCUUAUGUUUCUCUUUCAAUGGCGAUAGGAGCCAUAUUUUUAUGGUCAUAUGUCUACAAUAUUGUUCGAGUUUCUUCAAUGAGCCACAUUAAGAAUUCCACCUUUAAUAACUUGCCCAUCACUAACACCUCCUCCAUAGAGGAACCAUUGAUUCACAAUAUUCAACCACUUGUUGUUCAUAAUGAUGAUGAUGAUGAUGUUUCUUCAAAAAAAUUAUUGGUUUUGGAGGAAAAUGCAGUCAUUUCCUCUUCUCAAACGAAACAUGAGGUUGUUCCAACUGCAGUCGGAAUAAGCACAUUCAUUAAAUCGCUUAAUUUGAAAGCAUUGUUUGCCCCUUCAACAAUUGGAGCGAUUGCUGGUUUUGCGAUCGGUCUCAUCCCUCAACUUCAAAGCUUGUUGAUAGGUGCUGAUGCUCCUUUGCGCGUCAUCGACGACUCGGCUGCUUUGUUGGGAAAUGGGGCCAUCCCAACUGUCACAUUAAUUGUAGGAGGGAACCUUCUAAAAGGUUUGCGAGGAUCGGAAUCGGAGUUGAAGAAAUCCAUUGUCAUUGGGAUUGUUUUGGUUCGUUACAUUGCGCUGCCUCUGAGUGGACUUUUGAUUGUGAGAGGAGCUGCAAAAUUGGGUUGGGUGGGGUCUGAUCCCUUGUAUCUGUUUGUUCUUCUGCUUCAAUUUGCUGUCCCACCUGCUAUGAAUAUUGGAACCAUCACUCAAUUGUUUGGAGCUGGAGAGGCAGAAUGCUCGGUUAUUUUGCUAUGGACUUACGUUCUAGCUUCAGUUUCACUGACACUUUGGUCCACCUUGUUCUUGUGGCUCGUGGGUUGAUCUAUAUUGAUGAGACUCCAAUAAAAAGUUCUCUCAGUUGUGACCCAGUGUUGCUCGUUCCGUCGAAGUUUCAGAUCGCGUCGUGAUCCAGCCGCAGCCCACCCGAUCUCCAACCACGAUCUCCAACCGCCUCACUCGCCUGCUAGCGCUGCCGUUGGAGUCUAGUCGCUAGAUCUGAAGUUGCGUCGUUGUCCACAAUUGUCCGUAGUCGAUGCUCAGCGUGGCCGUUCGUGUGGGUUUUUGUCAGGUCGUCCAUUCGCUACAACGUCCACCAUUUGCUUCGCCGCACUCAUCCACCGCCAGCCGUUGGUCACUGCCACUGAGUCAUCGCUUUACAUUGCCAGAUUUUUAGAAUUUGAUGUGUUCUGGUUGGUCUAAUUUCAAUUUUCUCACGCCGCCUUGAUUAUAGAUUUAAUGUUCUGGAAGAAUUCGAAGAAUUUUGAAGAAAUUUCCAACAAGGUUGGGUCUACAAUCAGUGAGUUUUGUUGGGUUCUUGUUCAAUGGUAGAUUACCUAUUAAGCUUUACACUGGUUUGAGUUUGUUACUCACAAUGCUUGUGUUAGAUUGGAGCUUUGAAAGACUUUGAGGCACUAUUCAGAAGUCGUUGGGUUUUUAUAGAUUAUCUUAAGUUUAAUUGUUGGAAAUUUAGUCAUUGUCUUAUUGGUGAUUUGUGCAUAGGUUGGACUACUUGGUGGACGUUUUUUAGUGAAAUCUUGGAUUGAUCUUGUUUUGACCUCCAUUUAGGUAAGUGGUUUAAGGAUAGUUGAGGUAAAGUGUGUUGGAAAUUUAUGCUUUAUGGGAUAAAACUGAUUAUGGUUAAUGUUUUAGGCUUUGGAUUGAGAAGUUUGAUAAACAAGGGGACGAAAUCGUUUGGAUUUACUCUAAGGUAAAUGAUUUACUACUGGUUCGCACUCGAACCCAAGUUGAUAUUAAGACUGUGAUUGCACUGAAAGCGUGAUUCUAUUUUGAUGGGUUGAAUUGCUAUGACUUGCUAUGGUUGGAUUAUUGAGGGUGUUUGGAAACUUGUGUUUGUGUUACGGAAAAUAUGAUAUAUUAUGUGAAUGAUUUUGCUACGUUUGAAUGAUGGAUGGACUGAUGGGACUAUUCUGGAAACUCUUGAGUGAGUAUGUUCUAAGAUUAUGAUUACAUGCUUAUGACUGUGUUAGACUGAUGGUGACUGUUAGCAUUCUUAACGAGUUGUGUACAUCCCUUGUGUAUGUAUUGCCGUUCUUAUGGGAUCGCCGCCACCUAUAUUUAUGAUUUUUUUUGUGACUCUUCGGAGCCACUACUAUGAAAGCGUGCCUUCGAAUUCGCCCCUUAGUACCUAUACACAUAAUAAGCCCAAUAGUGGGUCGCUUACUGAGUAUUUUUAUAUUCAAUCUUUUCUGUAAAUGUUUUUUUUCUAGGUGGUAAAGAUAUGCUACCGAAUGAUACGAGGAAUCCGUGACAUUGAGACUUGACAUCGCUUCCACACAUGAUUUUCUCAAAAUGUUUUGUUUUAGGGUUAAAUAUUUAAAUUAUUUGAUUGUUUUAGUCAGUAUUUAUUUAAUUUAUUUUAAAGUAGAUUAAGGGUACCCGAACAGUGUUUUUAUUAUUUUAGAGAUUUA
Non-coding RNA from Benincasa hispida (wax gourd), 3035 nucleotides. The record is from RefSeq and is a predicted model, not a curated record. NCBI's taxonomy places the organism in Eukaryota, Viridiplantae, Streptophyta, Magnoliopsida, Cucurbitales, Cucurbitaceae.